Molecule: long non-coding RNA, 1301 nt
Filed under: Pan troglodytes (chimpanzee)
Lineage: Eukaryota; Metazoa; Chordata; Mammalia; Primates; Hominidae
Description: lincRNA
Source: RNAcentral
AUCCUUUGGCAUUUGAGAGUUGCUUUUUGUAUACAGCCCUUUAACGGAGCAAAUGGCCAGCCAGGAAACCAAAGUGUGGACAAGGGGAAAGAAGCAUCUGUGGAGGAAGUUCUACAAGCAACCCUCCUCAUCCAUGUGGGUGGCGUUGCCCAUAUGCUACAUGUCUGUGGACCACUAUGUGUGUUUAAAGCUUUUUAGUAAAACGUUACUAAAAACUAUGACUCACUGUGGUGAAAAAGGUGGCAAAACAGUGACAGCAACUUGUCAUUGCUACAGCAACACGGAGAUGCAUUGACACCCUUCUUCAAUCCAGAGGAUGGGCCAUCAACUCACAAAAGUACAAGGCCUGGAACCAGCUACAAAGUUCCUAUGGAUCACUUGGCCAGACCGUGAUCAUGGGCUACAUUCUCCAUACCAGCUUCAUAGCUCCAGUGAGAAAAUAAAUUCCUGCAUCCAGGAGACGUGGAGUAAGAGAUACAGCUGCCCUUGACCAUAUUUCUUACUUCAGAGAAGAUCGUAGCAGUAAUUCAGGUUAUUGGGGAACAGGUGGUUUGGGUUACAUGAAAUCUCAUCCAGGAUACCUCAUCACAGGCUGGAGUGCAGUGUCAUGAGCUUGGUUCACUACAGCCUCCAUCUUCUGUGCUUAAGAACCCUUCCCUCUCAACCUCCAGGGUAGCUGAGACUACAGGCAACAUUCGAAACCCAGGUGCCACUCCUUCAGGAAGGUACCUUCAAGCUCCAAGGACUCUUAUCCUCUUUCUCCUUCCCCACUACCUAGUCAUUAGAGCGUCAGCAUCCCCUUCUUGAAAGGAAGAUGCCUGUUUUUCACAUAUCCCAGAAAGCCCCAUUUUAGGACAGCAUUUAGCAGAAUAUAUUCAGGACCCCACUAACCUUUUCGGAAGACAUGAAUUCCAGAUGAUAUAAGGCAAGAAUAAGAAAUGUCAGUGACAGGCAACAGAAAUCAUAUUUCUGCAUUCAGGAUCAUGUUUUCUUGGCUCCAUCAGGAACUUUGCAGGACCGUGCACUCUGUUGAUACUCACAUGGUGGAAUUAUAUUGCCCUUGGCCAACCUAAAGCCAUCAAGAUAGCAGGUUUGGAAUAAUUCACUGUUGAAGUCUUCUUGAGCUGAGCAGUCAUGUGAGCUUGGAAGAUGAUCCCUCUCCAGCUGAUCCUUCAGGUCAGGCCAUCAUCUACAUCUGGAUUCCUGACCCAGAGAAACUAUGAGUAAUGUAUGCUGCUUUUGAGCCACUAAGCUAUAUAGUAAUAGGCUAUGCUUCAAUAAACAAUAAUACACUUGAUGAU